CAAAAAACAAACAACAACAACCAACCAACCAACACAAAGCAAAAUUAAAACCCUAGGUUAUAAAAAAGACUUCAAAACGCAUUCAAAAUAUAUAUAUAUUUAACUAAAAACAAAAAUAAAUCGUAGGAUUAAAGUUCAACAUAGUAAAUGAGAGGAGGAUACACUCAGCAUAACGGUGAAUAGUAAAUGAAACAGCAAUAAUAACAGCAACCGAAAACAACAAACAAACAAAAUAUAUACAAAUCGUGCAACCGAAAAGUAAUAGCAACGUACAGCGAAACUAAAUAGGAAGGAAGGAAGGAAG
Molecule: long non-coding RNA, 304 nt
Organism: Drosophila serrata
Lineage: Eukaryota; Metazoa; Arthropoda; Insecta; Diptera; Drosophilidae
Gene: Unr
Source: RefSeq, a predicted model, not a curated record